Long non-coding RNA from Leopardus geoffroyi (Geoffroy's cat), 934 nucleotides. RefSeq lists it as uncharacterized. The transcript is spliced from 9 exons. NCBI's taxonomy places the organism in Eukaryota, Metazoa, Chordata, Mammalia, Carnivora, Felidae. The record is from RefSeq and is a predicted model, not a curated record.
CCUCGGAAGGUUAAAGCUCAGGUGGAACUUCUUUGAAAAAUAUCCACAGCCCUUACUGAAGUGCUCUGGAAUUUCUCUGCAGUCCUGGACUAAGCAGAUGGUGAUCAUCAUGAGAGAAGUGAUUUUUUCUCAUUCCUUUGGUGUAUCUCUAAAGUUCCUACUCUGAGCCUUGGACCUCGUCAGGUAUUUCUGGAAAUCAGAAGACAGUUCCCAUAAAACCUGGAAAUUGGGAAAAUAUAGAGCCUAGAGAAUAUGAUACACAAUAUCACUAUAAUAUUUUAAAGCAAGCAAAAUAUGGAUAAAGUGAACACUGACAACAGAAUUGAAUGGGGAAUGAGCUCAGGACAUAUAGCAGAGCCCCCUUCCACGACCACCACUAGCAUCUUGCAGAAUUGAAAGUCAGAACAAAGGGGUGAGAAGAGACCAACAGAACACAAGACCUGACACGUCUGUGAAGAAUGACAGAGAGAAGCCCAAGUCAUUUUCCAGAGCUAGUUCUUUGUGCUUACUAUUGCAGAUUGCCUUAAAAGAAUGUUCCCAAGAAAAUAAUCAAGUGUCUAAACUUAUUUUGCUUCUUAGGAAAAAAAAUGUAUUUUGAAGGCAAAGAUAGAAAAUAUUCCAGAGAACACAUCCAUCUGGAAGAUUUUCCCAGAACUCUUCAGAUCAGCCUGGAUCCAAUUUUCAUAACUCAUCCACACAGUGGAUGGUGGGCAUUUAUAUUAUGUCUCCUUAGAAGCAGACAUCGUCCUACACAAUCAUCUAGAGCUUCUUGCAGCCUUGAAAGUAUUUAAGGAGUACAAUAGUGAUUCCGAAAAUGUGCCAAUCCAAGUCAACGCAGCUUUGCUUCAACCCAUAUCCAUUAUAAAAAGGUAAAGUUUUAAUUUUUGGCAGGAAGGCAAAGGAGGAAGUCUUGUUUAUGCUUCCAUCUCAGUAC